Long non-coding RNA from Lagenorhynchus albirostris (white-beaked dolphin), 3653 nucleotides. RefSeq lists it as uncharacterized. Lineage: Eukaryota; Metazoa; Chordata; Mammalia; Artiodactyla; Delphinidae. The record is from RefSeq and is a predicted model, not a curated record. The transcript has 11 exons.
CGGGGGCGCCUUCCAGCCGUUCCCGGUGCAGCGGCGUCGCGUCACGCAGUGCGGGUCGGAGCUCCGGUGUUCCCGCCUCGGCCCUCGUCCCACGAGGAAAAAAGAGCUGGCAAUAGUUUCCUGCUGGGGAUGGUGACAGCGUCAAGGACCCAGAGCACGUGCCAUGAUUUCCCUGAUGGAAAAGAUUGGCGUCCGCUUGCUUCUGAAACCUUGGCUUUUCUACUGCGGCACCUCUCCUUCUCUGCACGAAGCAUCAUCUGAGCACGGUCCAUCUUACUCCAAUUUUCAGAAGUAGCAUACUUGUAGAAGGCUGGGAGUUCAAGAAGCAUACUUGCAACGUGGACUUCAGUUUUGCAGUUCCAGUGAGCAUAACGUGAAAUCUGUAGUCUCGGCAGACGUUUUCCACACACCACCCGGGAAUACAGUCCUGCCGUUGCAGGGCUUCUCCCCACGUUCCUGAAGUGAAGUUUGAAAUGCAGAGCCCGGGCGGCUGGACUUAGUCCUGGAAGCCAGCAGUCUGAAAUGUUCCCCCGAGCUGACGGCGACGUGUCAGCAGGCCCGUGUUCCUUCUGGAGCCUCUAGAAGUAUCCAUCUCCGGGUCUGUUCCAGCUUCUAGAGGCUGCCUGCCCUCCUCAGCUCAGCGACCCCUCCAUCUUCACACCGUCCAGACCAUGACCUGUACUUUUUUCCCUGAGGAGUCUAAGCUGAAAAUGAUCACUGAAGUGAGGUCUCUAUACACCAACAUUUGACAUUAGUACCAGAACCAGAAGCCAAGUUUCCUCAGGCAAACCUCAGAGAUACUGCGGGUUUGGCUCUGGACCACAGCAAUAAACGUUUUAGUUAGAAAGAGCUUUCGAGAUCCACUUAGAGAUGGAAAAAGUGUGCUGGAGCACCCGGCGCUCUCAGCUGGAUUUCAAAGAUAGAAAUAGAAAUAGCUGGACCUCCAGAAAGAAAUGUCUGCAUUGCUACCUGCCCAGGGAGAAGGCAAAGAGGAAAAAUACCGAUUGUCAACAUCCCCAAAGCAGGCUGCUCUAUCAAAUGGAGGUCCUGAAUGUCUGGGACAUCAGAAAUCUUCUGCACAGAGAAUAAAGAAUAAAUAAAUAAAGGAAAGGUGCAGCCCUGCUCUCCUUCUGGCCGAGAGACCUGGCACGAAUCCCUCGGCAUCUCUGGGAAACUCUGCGGCUUGAGGAAGGAUCCCUUACCCGGUCCUUCUUGCGCGCGUGGACCCCAUGCCGGCGGACAAGUCCCUUGAACAGAUUGUGCCGGUCUGGUGCCCGGUAAUUGCCUUUCGAUUGCUGUUCCUCCUGAUGCCCUGCUUCCUGCGGGAAGGCGGGGUGCACGCGCUCCAGCUCUGGGCCCGACAGCACAGCCCCAGGGCGUGGGUCUCCAGCAAGCUCAAGGGAAAGGGUCCCUUAAAUGAAGUCUUUUUUUUUUAAUCACAGUAAUUAAGCAUUGUUAUUAUUUAUUUAUUUAUUUUUACAAGUUUCAUACAUGGUUAAACCUUUACUUAGAAUUUUACUACAGUGGUCUUUCUAGUACAUGAAAUUAGGUUCAAGACAAUUAAAUGAAGUCUUAUGCAGAGUGACGCUGAUUAUUUCGCAAUGAAAACGGAUGUUCUCAGUUUAACCGCAUGCCAAUUCUGGGUCACCUGCAAUAUUUAUUAGUUGUUGACGUCCUCUUUGGUGGCGAUUUCACGCUCAACUGGGCUUUUAGAUUUUUAAGUUUCGUGUUGUUUUUGUGUUGAGCUCACCGCUAUGCACACUGACCCGGGGUAACCGAGGGCGCUCGGGGGACCCCCCCCCGGCCUCAGCCCUGAGACCCUGUCCUCUGCAGGGUGAACAGACGGCUGGCCGCUGGGAGCGGUGGGGCGCAGCUGGGAGGCCAGGUCCCACUGGCGAUGCCCAGUUCACUCUCUGCGCCGCCUUUGAUGCUCCCUCCGCCUCCAAGUGCGAGCAAAGAGUACUGGAUAAUGAGGACCCAGAGUCUCUAAUUUGCUACCAAAUGCAGAAACCAUGAAAAAAGACCAUUUUUUUAAAAAAUGUGAUUUUUCCCCUUCGUAAUACUCAAGGGAGUUAUGAACGGUAGGAAUUAAUGUUUCAGGGACAUGUCUUCCACGAUGGAAUACUGAAUCUCGGGGCAUCCAGAGAGAGAAGCACAGACGCGGGGUCCCAGGGAGGACGCGCAGGUGACGAGGAGCUGCCGUGGGUCCAUUUGUCUCUGUCACUUCCCCUGAGCUGCUGUUUAACCCUGGGGAACGUCGGGUUAAUUAAAACACUGUACCAACAUCUUUGGCCUUUAAAUAUGCAUGGAUUGGAAGCCAAACCGUUGCAUGUAUCAUUACUCUGAGUAAUUUUAAAACAUACAUGCAUACAUAUUUUCUAUGUAUUAAAUUUUCUAGUUUUGUGAACUAUAUGGGUAAAAACCAAGAAAGAUGAAUUUAAGAUUUUGAAUAUAUUAUGAAGAUCGCUGCUUCAUAGCCCACUUUGGUAAAUUUGUCUGACUCUUGCAUUUGACUGAUAAUUACGACAUGGACCAGAUAUUCUUCUUAACAUUUAUUCACUUAAUGUUACCAAAGCCAUUCUUUUAAACUACGGGGAUACUACCUUUAUUUUAUUUUUUAAUUUACUCAUUUAGAUGUUUGUUUUGUAUUCCUGAAUAACUAUGAUUUUUCCAUACUUUUAAUUUACUCUAUGUAGGAUAAAUCAAGGCCUAUGUAAUGAUGGCUGUUGAUUUAAAAUAAAAGUUUGUGUGAGUAUUUAAUCAUUUAUUUUCAUAGAAGUUCAAUUGAUACAGUUUAAAGAAAAUGCAAUGCAUGUGUUACUACCACUCUGAAGGGAAAAUGGCCACCAUGAUACUUUACAGACUGUAGGUAGCAAUGAAAAGGCAUCAGGUGAAGCAGCUUUUCCUCCAGACCUUGGGAAUAAGGCGUAUACUUCAUGGAGAGCAGAGGCAGAGAGCUGACUCUCAUUAUCUUACUGUGCCUCGUUUCAGUCUGUGAUGAUUGGCACCUAAUUCAGCAAAAUGCAUGCACUUUGUGCUAGGUCAAGGACUGAGGCUGGAGGCAGAAUGAGAUGCGAUCAUCCCAGUUCUAUUUCCUGUGCUGGAUUAUGCCAUGGUCAGCCACACAACAAAGCAAGGAUGCUGAUUCUAGGUGCCCCUGUCUGUCCCUCCCAAUCACGUCUGCGCAUUCCAGAAACACGCUGGCCUUGCACAGGACUCCCUGCUUCCAUCUUUUCUUCUUUUCCUUUCUACGAUAGUCAGACGGAUUCCUAUAAAGGAAAACGACCAUGAGCUCGCUUCCUUGGAGAACAUCUCCGUGGCUUGUCUUCCCUGCUGGACGCAGUCUGCACGUCCUGGGAUGGGGUGGGGAGCCGUCCCUGAGCUGCCCCACCUCACCUCUGUUCCCCCCGCCCAAGUCCUCUCUGCCUCCUUAAUAAAGUUAGGCAAUGACACUUGGAUGAAGACACAGAAACGAUGGGAGGCAUCUAAGUGCCCACGAUGAAGGCUGGAUGGACACUGAGACUUUCCCAUGUUGGCUGUAAGAAUACUGCAAACCACCCUCGUUUCUUGCCUGUCACCUUCCCCAGAGACACCACAUAUGGGAAAAGGCAGGCACAUUUUUACACAGCACUAUACACGUGUCUAUGCAUAAA